GACGAACGUUGGCGGCGUGCCUAAUACAUGCAAGUCAACUGAAAUACCGGUAGCAAUACUGGUAUGGAGGUGGCUCACGGGUGAGUAACACGUAGGUAAUCUGCCUUCAGGUCUGACAUAACCCAUCGAAAGGUGAGCUAAUAUCAGAUGAUGCAGCGGCUUGACAUCAAGACAGUUGUUAAAGCUUCGGCGCCUGAAGAUGAGCCUGCGUCUGAUUAGCUAGUUGGCGGGGUAACGCCCACCAAGGCUGCGAUCAGUAGCUGGUCUGAGAGGAUGAUCAGUCACACUGGAACUGAGACACGGUCAGACUCCUACGGGAGCAGCAGUAAGAAUAUUGCUC
This 340-nucleotide ribosomal RNA is filed under the name uncultured bacterium. RNAcentral describes it as "bacterial SSU rRNA". It matches the Rfam family "Bacterial small subunit ribosomal RNA", at positions 28 to 369 of the family's 1533-position model. The record is from RNAcentral.